UACUAGAGUAGCACUCGCAUAUCAAUAAGCGGAGGAAAAGAAACUAACAAGGAUUCCCCUAGUAACGGCGAGUGAAGCGGGAAGAGCUCAAAUUUGAAAUCUUAAAGGGUUUCCCUUUACGAAUUGUAGUUUAAAGAAGUGUUUUCUGUUGAGGUUUUGGUAAAAGUUCUUUGGAAUAGGACAUCAUAGAGGGUGAGAAUCCCGUAUUUGACCUUUACUUUCAACUUUGUGAUACACUUUCAAAGAGUCGGAUUGUUUGGGAAUGCAGUCCAAAAUGGGUGGUAAAUUUCAUCUAAAGCUAAAUAUUGGCGAGAGACCGAUAGCGAACAAGUACCGUGAGGGAAAGAUGGAAAGAACUUUGAAAAGAGAGUUAAACAGUACGUGAAAUUGUCAAAAGGGAAGCGUUUGACACCAGUGUUGUUUUUCUGAAAAUCAAUUAAAGAACUGUUUAUGCUAAGUUGUUUAGACUUUAUCAGCUAUCUGUUUAGUUUUGAGCUUUUCUUUAAUGCACUUUUCAGUUAACAAGUCAACAUCAAUUUCUUUUGCUGUAAAAAAGCUUGAGGAAGGUGGCUUGAGAUUCGUCUUAAGUGUUUAUAGCCUCUUGCCUAUGCAGUCGGAGAGAUUGAGGUCUGCAGCGUAGAUCCUUCGGGGCUAAAUGCAUUUGUGCUAAGUUAUAGCAUUUUAUAGACAACUUGUUGACUAUGAUUUGUCUUGUAGCUUACUCGCUUAUGUUAUUUUACCUACGCUUAGGAUGUUGAGCGCAUGUCUCUCUCU
This 774-nucleotide ribosomal RNA is filed under the name uncultured Neocallimastigales. Its description in RNAcentral is "partial large subunit ribosomal RNA". It matches the Rfam family "Eukaryotic large subunit ribosomal RNA", at positions 20 to 616 of the family's 3401-position model. The record is from RNAcentral. Lineage: Eukaryota; Fungi; Neocallimastigomycota; Neocallimastigomycetes; Neocallimastigales.